This 328-nucleotide long non-coding RNA is filed under the name Homo sapiens (human). Its description in RNAcentral is "HSALNT0329932". Lineage: Eukaryota; Metazoa; Chordata; Mammalia; Primates; Hominidae. The record is from RNAcentral.
AGUCCCACCUCGGUCCCUGGCCCCGGCAGGCCCUGGAACAGACCUUAAAAAACACUUUCCCUUGGGAGGCGGGGAUUCGAGUCUGGUUUGUGUGUGUGUGUGUGCAAGAGGAGGGAGACUUGAGGGGCGCCGGGUCGCCCCCAGGAAUACAACCCCCUGGACCUUGGGGCUGGGGCCGGGGGGUUUUAGUGCAGGGGUUGAGCUGGGGGCAGGCAAAGCAGAAUCGCUUCCUCAGUCUCCUAGGGUUGGGCCUGGCUCUGCCUUCAGUUUCUUUCUUUGUUUAGAUGCCAUUUAUUUACCCAAGUAUUAAAACUUGUGUUGUUUAAAG